GUCUUAUCCAGAGCAGCGGAGGGAACGGCCCUGUGAAGCUGCGGCAACCUGCGGAGGCCUUCUAAAGCGCCUACUAAGGUGCCAAUUCCGACCCGGUGGCCAUCCGGGAAAGAUAAGGA
Molecule: non-coding RNA, 119 nt
Filed under: Allomeiothermus silvanus
Lineage: Bacteria; Thermotogati; Deinococcota; Deinococci; Thermales; Thermaceae
Also listed under: 1 other name
Description: Meiothermus silvanus SAM-I sequence
Rfam family: SAM riboswitch aptamer (S box leader)
About the family: The SAM riboswitch is found upstream of a number of genes which code for proteins involved in methionine or cysteine biosynthesis in Gram-positive bacteria. The SAM riboswitch acts at the level of transcription termination control.
Source: RNAcentral